CAAAACUUUCAACAACGGAUCUCUUGGUUCUGGCAUCGAUGAAGAACGCAGCGAAAUGCGAUAAGUAAUGUGAAUUGCAGAAUUCAGUGAAUCAUCGAAUCUUUGAACGCACAU
Molecule: ribosomal RNA, 114 nt
Filed under: leaf litter ascomycete strain its006
Lineage: Eukaryota; Fungi; Ascomycota
Description: 5.8S ribosomal RNA
Rfam family: 5.8S ribosomal RNA
About the family: 5.8S ribosomal RNA (5.8S rRNA) is a component of the large subunit of the eukaryotic ribosome. It is transcribed by RNA polymerase I as part of the 45S precursor that also contains 18S and 28S rRNA.
Source: RNAcentral